AUUGAACGCUGGCGGCAGGCCUAACACAUGCAAGUCGAGCGGUAGCACAGAGAGCUUGCUCCCGGGUGACGAGCGGCGGACGGGUGAGUAAUGUCUGGGAAACUGCCUGAUGGAGGGGGAUAACUACUGGAAACGGUAGCUAAUACCGCAUAACGUCGCAAGACCAAAGUGGGGGACCUUCGGGCCUCAUGCCAUCAGAUGUGCCCAGAUGGGAUUAGCUAGUAGGUGGGGUAAUGGCUCACCUAGGCGACGAUCCCUAGCUGGUCUGAGAGGAUGACCAGCCACACUGGAACUGAGACACGGUCCAGACUCCUACGGGAGGCAGCAGUGGGGAAUAUUGCACAAUGGGCGCAAGCCUGAUGCAGCCAUGCCGCGUGUGUGAAGAAGGCCUUCGGGUUGUAAAGCACUUUCAGCGGGGAGGAAGGCGACAAGGUUAAUAACCUCAUCGAUUGACGUUACCCGCAGAAGAAGCACCGGCUAACUCCGUGCCAGCAGCCGCGGUAAUACGGAGGGUGCAAGCGUUAAUCGGAAUUACUGGGCGUAAAGCGCACGCAGGCGGUCUGUCAAGUCGGAUGUGAAAUCCCCGGGCUCAACCUGGGAACUGCAUUCGAAACUGGCAGGCUAGAGUCUUGUAGAGGGGGGUAGAAUUCCAGGUGUAGCGGUGAAAUGCGUAGAGAUCUGGAGGAAUACCGGUGGCGAAGGCGGCCCCCUGGACAAAGACUGACGCUCAGGUGCGAAAGCGUGGGGAGCAAACAGGAUUAGAUACCCUGGUAGUCCACGCCGUAAGCGAUGUCGAUUUGGAGGUUGUGCCCUUGAGGCGUGGCUUCCGGAGCUAACGCGUUAAAUCGACCGCCUGGGGAGUACGGCCGCAAGGUUAAACUCAAAUGAAUUGACGGGGGCCCGCACAAGCGGUGGAGCAUGUGGUUUAAUUCGAUGCAACGCGAAGAACCUUACCUGGUCUUGACAUCCACAGAACUUUCCAGAGAUGGAUUGGUGCCUUCGGGAACUGUGAGACAGGUGCUGCAUGGCUGUCGUCAGCUCGUGUUGUGAAAUGUUGGGUUAAGUCCCGCAACGAGCGCAACCCUUAUCCUUUGUUGCCAGCGGUCCGGCCGGGAACUCAAAGGAGACUGCCAGUGAUAAACUGGAGGAAGGUGGGGAUGACGUCAAGUCAUCAUGGCCCUUACGACCAGGGCUACACACGUGCUACAAUGGCAUAUACAAAGAGAAGCGACCUCGCGAGAGCAAGCGGACCUCAUAAAGUAUGUCGUAGUCCGGAUUGGAGUCUGCAACUCGACUCCAUGAAGUCGGAAUCGCUAGUAAUCGUAGAUCAGAAUGCUACGGUGAAUACGUUCCCGGGCCU
RNAcentral lists this ribosomal RNA (1360 nucleotides) under uncultured bacterium. Its description in RNAcentral is "bacterial SSU rRNA". It matches the Rfam family "Bacterial small subunit ribosomal RNA", at positions 28 to 1381 of the family's 1533-position model. The record is from RNAcentral.